GGUCUUUAACUCCUGACCUCAAGUGAUCCAUCUGCCUUCGCCUCCCAAAGUGCUGGGAUUACAGGUGUGAGCCACUGUGUCCAGCCUCUUCUGUAUCUUAAACAAGUCUACAUGAAAACUUUUCAUGCAAGAAUAGAAAGAAAAAGUUAUACACUCAGUGAAUAGAUGAGAAAAACUUUGGUAACAGUUGCCAGUUUGCAGUCGAAUUCCAAGUUCUUAUCAACCGUAUUUUUUAGCGCUUGAUGGAGAAGGAGGUCAGGAGCAGGAAAUGUUUCAUUUGUGAGAAGGAUAGAUUUUACCUGGAAUUACAGUCACACAUUACUUAAUGACAGGAAUUCAUUCUGAGAAAUCUGUCGCUAGGGGGUUUUAUUGUUGGGUGAACAUCAUAGCGUAUACUUGCACAAACCUAGAUGUGUAUCCACACCUAGGCUGUAUGAUACAGCCUAUUAUUUCUAGGCUGCAAACCUGUACAGCAUGCUACCAUACAGAGUAUGCUGCCAUGCUGAGUAUGUAGGCAGUUGUAACACAGUGAUAAUUUUUGUGUAUCUAAACAUAGAAAAAGUACAGUAAAAAUACGAUGGUAUAAUCGUAUGGGACUAUCAUUAAGUAUGUGGUCCAUUGUUGACCACAGCAUCAUUUUGUGACUCAUUACAGCUAUUAUUUCUCCAUUUUUAACUUUACUACUACUCACUCUUUCCUGUCUUCGCUCUCCUUUUUUCUUGUCAAUGGCAAUAGCUGCAGUUACUUUUGCACCAACCUACUGUUUUCCAUCCAUCCUUCCAAAAAGGGACAUGUUUUUAUUGCCAUUACUACUAUGAAUUUUUCAAAAUACAUUAGCCCUGCUAAUGACCUUUUGUAUUACUCACAUUAAGAUUGCUAGCAGUGAUUCAUACUUGAAUUUAUUGUUCAGUGAAUUAGGAGUCGAUGAUGCAGUUUGUUAGUCACAACCUCUUUCUCAGUUCUUUGUCUACUUUAGCUUCUUCCUUGUUAGCUUUAUUUAUAAUGGAUGGCAACAGAAAAUAUGGAUGAAAUACUGAAACAUAAAAAGCAACAUCUGAAAAAGAUAUCCUUGAGCCAUUUAUACCACACAUAGAAACCUAGGAGGCACUCUCCUGUCUUACGUAGGAAGUAGGCUUUCAUGCUAGUUAUUUUGCUCUACAUUUUCAAUAACUAUUUUAAAUGUUCUUCUGUAUAACUUAUACAGUUAUACAACAGAGUAUAUAUUUUUCAACAUACAAAAGUCUAUUACAGUAGUCCCCUCCUCAAGUUUGAGGAGGAUCCAUUCCAAGACCCCCAGGGGAUGCCUGAAACCAUCGUUAGUACUAAACCCUAUAGCUUAUGUUUUUUCCUAUACAUACAUACUUGUGAUAAAGUUUAAUUUAUAAAUUAGAUAUUAUAAGAGAUAACAAUUAUAACAAUAGACCAUAAUAAAAUUUAAGUGAAUAUGAUCUCUCUCAAAAUACCUUAUCGUACCAUAACACAGAUGAGGGAGGACCAUUGUAAUGUAAUAUGCCAUGCGAUUAGACUAAAGAACAAAAACCAUGUGAUUGUUUAUGCAGAUACAGAAGAGGCAUUUGACAAAAUCUAGUGCUAUUUCAUGUAAAAGCAAAAUUAAGAAUUGAAGGGAAAUUUCUCAACCUGAUGAAGGGUAUCAAUAGAAAAUCCAUAGCUAACAAUAUACUUGAUGAUUAAAGGCUGAAAGCUUUCCCUCUAAAAUCAGGAACAAGACAAGGAAAUCCAUACUUGCCACUCCUAUUCAGCAUUGUAUUGGAGGUUCUAGCUAGGCUAACUAGAAAAGAAUAAAAAAUAAAAGUUACCCAGUUUGUAAAAGAAGAUGCAAAACUAUCUCUCUUUUUUGGUAAUGUGAUUUAAAUAUAGAAAAUCCUAGGGAGUCCACACAAAUGAAAUUAAAGCUAAUAGACAAGUUCAGCAAGGUUUCAGGGCACAAGGUCAUCAUACAAAAAUUAAUUGUACACUAGCAAUGAAAAAUCUAAAAAUGAAAUUAAGAAAACAGUUCAAUUUGUAAUAGCAUCAAAAACAAUAAAAUACAGAGGAAUAAAUUUAGCAAAGGAAGUACAAGAGUUCACUGAAAAUUAUAAAACAUUUUCUGAAGAAAUUAUAGACCUAAAUAAAUGGAAAGAUGGCCUGUGUUCAUCACUGGCAGACUUAAUGUUAUUAAGUUGACAUAUUCCCCAAAUUAAUCUAUAGAUUCGCCCAACCUCUGUUAAAUCCUUUCUGGCUUUUCCUUUUUCAGAUCUCAAAAUACAUAUGGAAAUGCAAGAGACUCUUAAUAGCCAAAACAAUCUUGAAAAAGAACAAAGUUGGACGCCCCACAGGUCCCAGUUUCAAAACUUACUGCAAAGAAACAGUAAAUAAGAUAUUGUGGCAUUGACAUAAGGAUAGGCACAUAAAUCAGCAAAUUAGGAUUGAUUGUACGGAAAUAAAUCCCCACAUUUGAUAAUCAAAGUUGCCAAGACAAUUCAAUGCGAAAAGAGUAGCCUUCAACAAAUGGUACGGGGACAACUGUAUAUCCACAUGCAAAAGAAUGAAUUUGAUCCCCAUCUCAUACCAUAUUCAGAUAACUCAAUGUAUUAAAAACCUAAAUGUAAAAGCUAAAACUAUAAAACUUCUAGAAGAGGACAUAGGUAAAAUUUUGUACCUUGGAUUAGAUAACAUUUAGUUAGAUAUGACACUUAAAGUACAAGCAACGAGUGAAAACAAUUAAUAGACUUGAUCAAAAUUAAAAAUUUUGAUCUAGCUGGGCAUAGUGGUGUGCACCUGUAGUCCCAGCUACUCAGAAGGCUGAGGCUGGAGGAUUGCUUGAGCCCAGGAGUUCAAGGCUGCAGUGAGCUGUGAUCACACUGCUAUACUCCAUCUUGGGUUACAGUACAAGAGGCUUUCUCU
Molecule: long non-coding RNA, 2904 nt
Organism: Sapajus apella (tufted capuchin)
Lineage: Eukaryota; Metazoa; Chordata; Mammalia; Primates; Cebidae
Exons: 2
Source: RefSeq, a predicted model, not a curated record